RNAcentral lists this ribosomal RNA (253 nucleotides) under uncultured bacterium. Its description in RNAcentral is "partial 16S ribosomal RNA". It matches the Rfam family "Bacterial small subunit ribosomal RNA", at positions 524 to 776 of the family's 1533-position model. The record is from RNAcentral.
UACGUAGGGUGCGAGCGUUAAUCGGAAUCACUGGGCGUAAAGCGCACGUAGGCGGAUCUUUAAGUCAGGGGUGAAAUCCCGAGGCUCAACCUCGGAACUGCCUUUGAUACUGGGGAUCUCGAGUCCGGGAGAGGUGAGUGGAACUGCGAGUGUAGAGGUGAAAUUCGUAGAUAUUCGCAAGAACACCAGUGGCGAAGGCGGCUCACUGGCCCGGAACUGACGCUGAGGUGCGAAAGCGUGGGGAGCAAACAGG